This 66-nucleotide ribosomal RNA is filed under the name Escherichia coli. RNAcentral's name for it is "partial 16S ribosomal RNA". The record is from RNAcentral. Lineage: Bacteria; Pseudomonadati; Pseudomonadota; Gammaproteobacteria; Enterobacterales; Enterobacteriaceae.
UUAAAUUGAAGAGUUUGAUCAUGGCUCAGAUUGAACGCUGGCAGCCUAACACAUGCAAGUCGAACG